CUAACCCCGCUCAGACCUUUUUUAUUUUUUGAGGUUGGGUUUAGGAAUGUUACAAAACAAUCCACAAUUAACAACACUGAAAACAUACUUCAGAACAACAUUUGACUUGAGGAAUUCAGUUUGAAAGUAAACUUGAGACACGAAUUGUAAAGGUGUUUUGUGUAUCCUCUUCCAAUCAAUGUUCAGAUUCCGUAAAAGUAUUUAUUCAAGGGAACAUGCUUCAUGUAUGAUGUAGUGUUGCUAAUUCUGGAAUGUCUUGUAAUCUUCCUAAACCCAACUAGAACAGUAUUAAAAGAGAGGCAAAAAAUGAAAAUGAAACCACGAUGAUAUAAUUCUACGUCCGGUUGGCAUGAUCUAAACUAUGGCCUUGGAUCAAAUCAUCACUUCCGGAAGUUUCGCAAACUGAUAAACAGUAAAUAUUCAAGAUGAUAAUGCCCGUGUGUAGCGUCUCAACAUUUAUUAGAGACUUUUUAGGGGUUCGUUCCAGCCUAGCACUUCAAUCGAAAGAACUAACAAACUCGGGUGUAGAUAAAAAUAAACAUCUUUAUUUGGAUCAAUUUAUUUGUGAUACAUCGCAUUAAGGGGAGAUAAUUUGGGUGAGACGCCAACCCUUUGGAUAAAUUCCCAGGUAUGGAAACAGGAAUGAGGUAAAUAAAUACAUUUGCCCUGUCAGGCCGGUGGAUAUGACGGGAUUAAAUCGGAGAUUUGGUGACAUAAGGAAUUGGUAAGACUUGGGGGAAUGGGUGAACCACAACUAAUUCUAGGCCUAUCUUGGAUCAAGCCAGUCAAGGUUAAACCAACCUAUGAGUCUUUAAAUAGGAGACCAGUUAUGGAUAAAUUACCACAGCCAAAGCUAGGAUAUUAAUUCCUUACCCAUUUUUGGUGAUCCAUAUCCAAAUUGAAAUAGCUGGAUUGCUGCCAAUUACGUAAGGAGCUUUCCCGAGUGCAUACUGAGGAUUUCAUUGUCGUCUGCUUCUAUUUAUAAGGGGAUUCCGAUGACGUCAGUUGUCGACCAAUCAAUGCGAGCGUUACUAACAAUAACGACGUUAUAGCCUUGACCGCGCCAAAGUGUCAUGGCCGCCAGCUGUUUGAUGUCGCUUGUUUCGCUAACUGAUUUGUGUCAAUUCAUCGGCCUAACGGGAAUGUUAUAAAUAUAAUUAUGUGAAAAGGACAAGAUGGAUAUCGGGCAUUAUAUUGUGAUACAUGGUAAUGUAUGACAUUGUUAUAUAAAUGUGUUUCGGGCGUGAACUCUACAAGGGAGCUGGUCUCAUUUUUUGACACUCUCAGUCGGAAACGACGUGCGAAAGACUGGAAUCGCCUGGACCGUAACACGUGCCCACCGCGCUCGUGUCGUGAAUGACUACCUCCAACGUCACUAUAUUGUCAUAUGCCUUGGCCAGUGAUGAGUCCUGACCUUUCCCCUAUAGGGCACGUCUGCGACUAGAAAUGGUUCCACUAGUCUGAUGUCUUAGGUCUUACUCCAGCCACAGUAGUGGACUCUCCUAAGGCCUUCCUUUGCGCAAGUUUUGUAGUCAUUUGACUACAAAAAAGUUACUGGCCUAUAACUCCCUUAAUUUCCAAUUACACUGACCCCAAACUGUACUGUUCAUAGCUUAACAUAUAAUCACUUAUUUCCAAUCCAUGCAAACUAUGAUGAUAUGUGUUGAAAAAUUUGCAACUGGACCUUAUUUUACUUGGGUAAAGAGUCGAAUAGUGUAUCAAUUGCAGCCUUAGAUAAGAAUUAUCUUGGCUAAAAAUUGCAGCUAGUCUGCGACAUGAUCGGGAAACGUGUUAGUCGACGUCAACCGACAACACACAAGAAUUGGCCGUGAAGAGGAGUGGGUCAGAUUGCCCCAAAUCGUAAUGUGUAGGCAAUUGGCCCGUUAUUAACAUAAGCUUGUUACCUCUAAUUAAAACAGCAGUGCAUUUCCGCAGUUUUGUAUUGUUUCUGAAUAUCACCUACUUUUUUUGAAGAGUAUAUUUGUAUUUAAAAAUCAGGAAUUUGGAAUGGUUCU
Molecule: long non-coding RNA, 2015 nt
Organism: Patella vulgata (common limpet)
Lineage: Eukaryota; Metazoa; Mollusca; Gastropoda; Patellidae
Exons: 3
Source: RefSeq, a predicted model, not a curated record